Molecule: ribosomal RNA, 955 nt
Filed under: uncultured Halorubrum sp.
Lineage: Archaea; Methanobacteriati; Methanobacteriota; Halobacteria; Halobacteriales; Haloferacaceae
Description: bacterial SSU rRNA
Rfam family: Archaeal small subunit ribosomal RNA
Source: RNAcentral
CGAGUGAUGGCCGAUCUUAUUGGGCCUAAAGCGUCCGUAGCUGGCCGCACAAGUCUAUCGGAAAAUCCACCCGCUCAACGGGUGGGCGUCCGGUAGAAACUGUGUGGCUUGGGACCGGAAGGCGCGACGGGUACGUCCGGGGUAGGAGUGAAAUCCCGUAAUCCUGGACGGACCGCCGAUGGCGAAAGCACGUCGCGAAGACGGAUCCGACAGUGAGGGACGAAAGCUAGGGUCUCGAACCGGAUUAGAUACCCGGGUAGUCCUAGCCGUAAACAAUGCCUGCUAGGUGUGGCUCCCACUACGAGUGGGUGCUGUGCCGUAGGGAAGCCGCUAAGCAGGCCGCCUGGGAAGUACGUCCGCAAGGAUGAAACUUAAAGGAAUUGGCGGGGGAGCACUACAACCGGAGGAGCCUGCGGUUUAAUUGGACUCAACGCCGGACAUCUCACCAGCAUCGACUGUAAUAAUGACGAUCAGGUUGAUGACCUUAUCCGAGUUUCAGAGAGGAGGUGCAUGGCCGCCGUCAGCUCGUACCGUGAGGCGUCCUGUUAAGUCAGGCAACGAGCGAGACCCGCAUCCUUACUUGCCAGCAGCACUGCGAAGUGGCUGGGGACAGUAGGGAGACCGCCGUGGCCAACACGGAGGAAGGAACGGGCAACGGUAGGUCAGUAUGCCCCGAAUGUGCUGGGCAACACGCGGGCUACAAUGGUCGAGACAAAGGGUUCCUACUCCGAAAGGAGACGGUAAUCUCAGAAACUCGAUCGUAGUUCGGAUUGUGGGCUGCAACUCGCCCACAUGAAGCUGGAUUCGGUAGUAAUCGCGUGUCAUAAGCGCGCGGUGAAUACGUCCCUGCUCCUUGCACACACCGCCCGUCAAAGCACCCGAGUGAGGUCCGGAUGAGGCGCGUUCCACGCGUCAAAUCUGGGCUUCGCAAGGGGGCUUAAGUCGUAACAAGGUA